GGUCUGAGGGCGAUCGCGUUGGGAGGCAGAGAAGACCUGGGUUCUGGUGCCAGUUCUGCAAUGGAUUCGCUGAAACCUCGGAGGCAACUCAUUGCUUUCCUCCUCUUUCCCUUACAAGCAGUGAGAAAGUUUUUGUCCCCGCGUCCCCACCCACCCUCCGCCGGUCUGGGUUACUUGGUGAGUUGAGAGCCCAGUUGAGAAACUGGGCAAGCGCUCUCCUGAUCUGUAACUCCCUGCUGAAAACUGGUCCCUGAAGUUGCCCCUAGCUGGAUCCCAUAAUCACAACUACUCUGAAAGGGGCCUUUAAGUACAGAGCCACGUAGGAACAAGACUCAAGAAAGACCAUCAUGCCCCUGUGUCCAUUUCCAUUUAAGGAUAAACCAGCUUCUAAAUGACCUCUUUAAGUUAGCUCCAGAGGACAGUGUAGCUAUCCUACCCUCUUAACGUUGCCCUUUGAGAAAAGUAGGUCCGAGAUAAGUACUUGAUUUGAGACUGUUUUUAUAGGAAGCCCAUUUCCUCAAACACCAGCCAUCAGGAGGAGGGACUUCACAAGUGAGGAUUUUGUCCCUUUCACAGGCCCCAGCAGCGCUCCAGUCGCCCACUGAAAGCAGGGCAUGCCUCUGUGAUGCUUGGUUUGUUUCCCACACAGUGAGAGGAAAACCUUCCUGAGCCUGCCCAGCAAACCUACCUGUGCCCCUGCCAGGAAGAGCAAGCAAGUGACUUCCAAAAACGUGAGUGAUGACAGAAACAGCUGGCUUCCUGGACAGUCACCCAAAGUUCUUCUGCAAUGUUUGGCAGUCACUUUCUUUUGUGUCCUGCUUAUCCAAUUAGGACAGCAUGCCGUCAGCUGUUGGAGUGGCUCUUCUGACAUGAGACAAAGAUUUUGAAUUUCAUUUUAAUAAGCAUGCUGGGUUUAAAGAAGGAGAGAUCCACAUUCCAACUCCAAAUCCAGUUUUAAUUUUUAAUUAGACUGUGACUACAAAAAACUAUUUGAAUUAUAUAUCUGUAGAGAACAGCGGAAACAAACAUCUGGUAAGAUUUAUGAAAUUUUACCCUAUUGAAAAUGUGAUAUUCCAAUAGGCCAAUUUACUCUUUUUAUUAAGAUAUUUUUUUCUGGACGAUUUGUCCUUUUUCUUUAGAUGUCUCAUUUGCCCAGUGGUCUUCAGAUUCCUUAGCUGGAUACCCUUAUUUUCCUGAAAAGACAAACAAAAUACUUCCCCAACCCGAAUUUUUUGGAGAUUCUCUUUUGGCGUGUUAAAUCUGGUGAAAUGAAAAGCAUUUGUUAAUAUUAUAGGUUAGUUAAGAUUAAAAGGUCAUGAUGUUUGACGAACUAGCAUCUCUUCUCAUUAAGAGGUGUAUCUUGUUUAAAUGGAAUCUUUAUCAAUUUUGAUGGUAUCUAUAGCUUUUCUUCUCCUGUGGAAACAAAAGCAAACCUAACACAUCUCCUGGUUUCUAUUCAGAGGUCAAUACAUCAUUAAAGUGUAUCGGCUGAUUUAAUUCCACAGCUGUUUCUCCACAGCUGUUGUUCCUUUCUCAUUAGCAUUUAGAAAAUUCAAAGUUAAUAAAGCAUUAUGUAACCUGUUUCUGGGUGUAUUUGUCAUCCCUUUCUGUUUUUUUUUAAACAUAUCCUUUAGAGCUCUAUUUGAUCUUUCUAUAACUACCUGUCUUAAAGGAUUGUGUGGUAUGCUUUGUAUUAUAAUAAGCAAAAAACUGUUUCAUUUUCUUCGAGACAUAUGCUGGAGCAUUGUCUUUAUUUUUCCAGAUAUAUUUAUGAUGGCCAUAACUUCUAGCAAAUGUGUGAUUACCAAAUCAAUCUUUUCUGAACACAAAACAGUUGCCUAUUGAAAACCUGACUAGGUAUCAAAGAUGUGGUAUACAUUAUACAAAAUGGAAUACCUCCAUCUGCCAGAUUUUAUUCCUUUGAGUACCCUUUGGGUUGCUUCCUGCAGAGAGUGGUGUUUGGUUGUAUAAGGAACAAGUAGGACAUUUCCUUAUAUCUUCUUGGCUUGUUGACAUGUAAUAGAAAAGUCCUUUUCUAAACCUUUGCUAUCCCCAUGAUGUUUUUAUGAGAUUCUGGUCCCUUUAGCACAUUUCCAAUCAACAAUUGAUCAAUUUCUUUAUUACCUUGUGAUAGAGGACCUGGCAGACUCAUACAGGAUCGGA
Long non-coding RNA from Alexandromys fortis (reed vole), 2163 nucleotides. RefSeq lists it as uncharacterized. NCBI's taxonomy places the organism in Eukaryota, Metazoa, Chordata, Mammalia, Rodentia, Cricetidae. The record is from RefSeq and is a predicted model, not a curated record. The transcript is spliced from 3 exons.